CAAGAGGAGGCCCAGGAAAAGGAGAGGAAACACAAGAAAAAGGCAGAGAGAGGGAUACCUUGAAAUGGAAUGCAGGCCUGGGACUCCAUAAGCCUGCUGUUCCAGCCAGCCUGUUUCAGAAUUGUCUUUCCUGACGCCUAGCUUUUGGAUGCUACAGAGGGCCCCUGAAGCAUCCAGAAGAGAGGACACAAUUGCAGAAACUAGUUGUUUUACUAAGGCUUUGACUGGAAGGAUAUGCUUCCCUUUGAGGAAUCAAGCUUGGCGUACAGAGCCAAUAAAAGCCCCUUGGGGAAACUGGCUUCAUACCUUGUCUAUACAGUCCCUGUACAGGGUUCCUAACCUGUGGCUAUCAAGCUCCAAAUGGUAAUGCAAAUGAAAUCACACAUGGACACGCCUUUCUUCCAAGGACUCUCAGACCAGCCCUAGGAGGAAUCGUAGCUGCUGUUCCCCACACAAAGCUACUCUGUAGCAGCAAGUAGCCGCAAGGCUCAUCGCCCCAUCUCCCUAACAGCACUUAGGGUCUCCACUCCUGAGGCGGGGGGGGGGGAAAUGAAAGAGUAGAAAGGAAGAAACUGAUUAGGCAGGCAGUUAGCUGGGUCCUCAGUUGAAUUAUUUCAAACAGAAGAACAACCUGCAAGCACAGAUAAGGGAACCUGCAUAGGAGGGCUUGCCUAAGAUAUGCCCACAGCCACACAGAUAAGAAAGCCUACACAGGUGACUUGCCUGGACACGCCUGCAAUGGAAAAUUCUGUCCCCUGACACAUGCACGGUAAGGGGAACAAAGCAAUAUGGAGUGACUCAAGCUAAGGACCUACAUGCGCACUAGGAGGAUAGGGUGGAGCUAGCAGAAGUUUGUGCCUUAUGCAAAUGAGAUGCCAAGGCCUCAUCAGUUUCUUAUAAAAGCCUUUACAUUCAACUGUUAAAAUGGCUAUCCUCUUCUGGACCCCCCUCCAUGGCAGAGAGCUUUCUUUUUUUGCUUAUUAAACGUUCACUCCAACCUCA
Homo sapiens (human) is the source of this 1002-nucleotide long non-coding RNA. RefSeq lists it as uncharacterized. The record is from RefSeq and is a predicted model, not a curated record. Lineage: Eukaryota; Metazoa; Chordata; Mammalia; Primates; Hominidae. The transcript is spliced from 4 exons.